This 305-nucleotide unclassified non-coding RNA is filed under the name uncultured fungus. Its description in RNAcentral is "partial contains small subunit ribosomal RNA, internal transcribed spacer 1, and 5.8S ribosomal RNA". The stretch from base 1 to 131 matches the Rfam family "Eukaryotic small subunit ribosomal RNA", at positions 1759 to 1831 of the family's 1831-position model. The record is from RNAcentral. Lineage: Eukaryota; Fungi.
GCAAACUUGGUCAUUUAGAGGAAGUAAAAGUCGUAACAAGGUUUCCGUAGGUAUGUUGACACCCGCUAUCUCCUCAUUCAUGGAAACCAUCGCUAACGUCGCGUCCAGGUGAACCUGCGGAAGGAUCAUUACAGUGUUAGGCUUCGGCCUCAUUCACACCCCUUGUUGAACCUCUGGUUUCUUUGGCGAUGUCAUGGACUCGUCAAACUUUAACUCUGGGAAUGCGAUACUGUCCGAGUGCCAUUGAAUGAUUUAAAACUUUCAACAACGGAUCUCUUGGUUCCAGCAUCGAUGAAGAACGCAGC